RNAcentral lists this transfer RNA (73 nucleotides) under Sus scrofa (pig). It matches the Rfam family "tRNA". Rfam says of the family: Transfer RNA (tRNA) molecules are approximately 80 nucleotides in length. Their secondary structure includes four short double-helical elements and three loops (D, anti-codon, and T loops). Further hydrogen bonds mediate the characteristic L-shaped molecular structure. tRNAs have two regions of fundamental functional importance: the anti-codon, which is responsible for specific mRNA codon recognition, and the 3' end, to which the tRNAs corresponding amino acid is attached (by aminoacyl-tRNA synthetases). tRNAs cope with the degeneracy of the genetic code in two manners: having more than one tRNA (with a specific anti-codon) for a particular amino acid; and 'wobble' base-pairing, i.e. permitting non-standard base-pairing at the 3rd anti-codon position. The record is from Rfam by way of RNAcentral. Lineage: Eukaryota; Metazoa; Chordata; Mammalia; Artiodactyla; Suidae.
UCCCUGGUGGCCUAGUGGUUAAGGAUCUGGCGUUGUCACUGCAGUGGCUCAGGUUCAAUCCCUGGCCUGGGAA